AUGAAGAGCAUUGGGAGAACACAACCCACAUAUUCCAUCGAUCUGAAAUACCACACGCUGCAUACCGCAAGCUCCGUCGAACUGCGCCGCUCCACUGCCUCUGCUCUAAUCGGACUCUCCCAUGCGUGCAUAUCCUCUAAUUUCGAUUCGGAAAAAAAGAUAAAGAAACUCCGACAAACUGCUAUCACUCUGAAAAACCGUACUUAUUUCGGAAACACGGGAGAACCCACCACUGUCGCAGCUGACUCCCUCAGAUCGCACGAAUUCCGCCAGGCCCUCCACCAUUCGCUGCACCGAGAUCGUCACCGAUGA
Vicia faba (fava bean) is the source of this 312-nucleotide non-coding RNA. NCBI's taxonomy places the organism in Eukaryota, Viridiplantae, Streptophyta, Magnoliopsida, Fabales, Fabaceae. The record is from the annotation of a GenBank genome assembly.